UUCAAGACGGCAUCGUGUAGUGUAGUAAAAUGCAGUGUAACAGGAGAAAAUUAGAGAAAGUGACAAAGUCAGGGAACAUACUGACCAAAGAGAUGGACUCCAGGUUUGUCAAUCUCUUUUGGUGGACUCUUAAUCCUUUCGUCUCAAAGCAGCAAUAUGGAUGACGGACAUCUUUACAAGACCCAGCACAAUUCAGAUGACACUUUUAUCCCAAUGUGAUAUCUGCAGUGCCAAUUUAAACAAUCAGAUGUCCAUGGAGUGGCUGGGGUUACCUGAACAGACAGCCAUCACAAAUGUCUAACCACACCUCCCCAUUUACUGCACUAUUGAAUCUAA
This is a long non-coding RNA of Thunnus maccoyii (southern bluefin tuna), 336 nucleotides long. RefSeq lists it as uncharacterized. The record is from RefSeq and is a predicted model, not a curated record. The transcript is spliced from 3 exons. NCBI's taxonomy places the organism in Eukaryota, Metazoa, Chordata, Actinopteri, Scombriformes, Scombridae.